UCCGCCCGCUGGCGGCGUGCCUAAUACAUGCAAGUAGAACGCACAGUUUAUACCGUAGCUUGCUACACCAUAGACUGUGAGUUGCGAACGGGUGAGUAACGCGUAGGUAACCUGCCUGGUAGCGGGGGAUAACUAUUGGAAACGAUAGCUAAUACCGCAUAAUAUUAAUUAUUGCAUGAUAAUUAAUUGAAAGGUGCAAUUGCACCACUACCAGAUGGACCUGCGUUGUAUUAGCUAGUAGGUGAGGUAACGGCUCACCUAGGCGACGAUACAUAGCCGACCUGAGAGGGUGAUCGGCCACACUGGGGCUGAGACACGGCCAAGACUCCUACGGGAGGCAGCAGUAGGGAAUAUUCGGCAAUGGACGAAAGUCUAACCGAGCAACGCCGCGUGAGUGAAGAAGGGUUUCGGAUCGUAAAGCUCUGUUGUAAGAGAAGAACGGGUGUGUGAGUGGAGAGUUCACACUGAGACGGUGUCUUACCAGAGAGGGACGGCUGACUACGUG
RNAcentral lists this ribosomal RNA (505 nucleotides) under uncultured bacterium. Its description in RNAcentral is "partial 16S ribosomal RNA". It matches the Rfam family "Bacterial small subunit ribosomal RNA", at positions 34 to 507 of the family's 1533-position model. The record is from RNAcentral.